Molecule: long non-coding RNA, 1435 nt
Organism: Ipomoea triloba (trilobed morning glory)
Lineage: Eukaryota; Viridiplantae; Streptophyta; Magnoliopsida; Solanales; Convolvulaceae
Exons: 2
Source: RefSeq, a predicted model, not a curated record
UCUAUGCACUACCGUGCUGGCUAGGGUUAGGGUUGGAGAUUCAAUUAAGUCCAUCGCCUCGUCUCCGCCUUUGCCGACAUUUCAGCACCGUCGAGAUUAAAGAAGAUGGACUACGCUUCAAAAAAAUUGAAGAAGAUGGACGACGCUACUUCCAUAGCUUCUCUUCCCCAAGAGAUAAUUCUCAAAAUUCUCACCACUCUCCCUCCCAAAUCUGCAGUCUCUUUCAGGUGCACCUCUAAAUUCUUCUAUUCUUUCAUCCCUCAGCCGCACUUCGCGUUUAGAAUCCUCUUCUGGGUCUCAUCCACAAAUCUGAACACUGUGGGAUACACUACUGAAGAGAGCCAUGGAAGGCUCCAACCCAGCAGUCUCCAAUGCUCAGCAGAUGAAUUGCAGCGUUUUAAACGACUACGACUGGGUGGUUCAAGCUUUGCAGAUGGCAAGCUAAGCUUUGUCUGUUCAGCAGAAGUGGAGAGAUUACUAUCUUGGACCUUAGUACAAGACAACAUAUUUCUCUUCCCCAAACAUUUGUGGAGCCAGAGCCAGGGUGUAGGGACCGGUGGACAAAAAUGAAUUCCAGUGUCGAAAAGGUACAAGGUUUUGAAGUCAGAAUUAUACGGUAAUAUUACUCACCAAUAUCACCAGGGUAUGUUGAGGGUUUUAACUCUUGGGGUGGAUGAAUCAUGGAGGGCGGUGACUACAGAAAACUCCUUCCUCCCUCGCAAGCCCUAUGCUAGCUAGUGUUCAAAUUGAUGGUAUUAUCUAUUUGAUACAUUUUAAGAUAAAUUGCAUGAAUGAACAAGAAAUAAUUGUAUUUGAUAUUGAGACGGAGAAUUUAAUUAGGGUGAUAUCUUUUCCCUAUAUAUUCCAACACUCACGUGUUUCGCCCAUGACGUAUCGAAUUAAAUGGUCGACUAGCUUAUAUUUAUGUUGAUGUAAAAGAAAGGACCCGAAUAUUUGUUUGUACUUUGGGACUGGAGUGGGACAAACAUGAGGUUCCUCUUACAUUGGAAGAGGCAAAAAUUAUUAGCCAAGCUGAAUUCAUGAGCUUUACAACCAAUAGUAUUGGAGAAAUUGUGUUCUUGGGAGUAUGCCUCCUACAAUUUUAAUUUAUGCAUGGGGAACACAAUUAUGGCGAAAGUUUGAGAUUACUGGUUAUUCACCUUUUGAAAAUUUGAGAAGGAUGAUUGUGCAUGCUAUAGAAGAAAAAGUAUAUUUUUCUGAAUAAAUUAUUCAGAAGAUGGAUCGGAUUGGAGAUAAGCGAAAGAAUAGAUUGAAGAUAAACUUAAAGCUUCCGUACGUGUAUGUUAGCCAAAGCCAAAGGGAAAUUAAAGUAUAUUACUGAGUCUGAAUGAAUUAGAAUAUUUAGUUUAUUUUCAUAAUCUGCCCAUCUUGUAUUACUUUUAUCUAAAUGGAUUUAAUUUAUCUUAAUUUUAUA